Molecule: unclassified non-coding RNA, 242 nt
Filed under: Hevea brasiliensis (rubber tree)
Lineage: Eukaryota; Viridiplantae; Streptophyta; Magnoliopsida; Malpighiales; Euphorbiaceae
Source: RNAcentral
GUUCAUCUCUUGAGUUUGUUUCAGAGAGAAAAUGUUCACAUUUGGGGAUUUAAAUUAGGUCAGUAGUAGGAAAUUGGUGCUAGGGCCUAGGGGAAGCAUUGGAAAGGGUUUUCUUAGAUUAUGAUCAUCUUUGCAGAUAAUCAAUAUAGCAUUAUUUUCUGUUGCAUAACCAUUUCAUUGUCCAUCAGUACAUUGGUAUAGCUUUGAAGCUGGUGGCAGCUUAUGAUUUCCCCCACUCUACC